ACUUUAUACGAGUUAUGGUUGUUUAUUAGAAUUUUAACUAAAAUUUGAAGGGCUGUGUUCGUAUUUUGUUGGGGAGACAUUGAUAUAAUUUGUAACUGUCUAAUUAAAGGGUAUAGUAAUUAUUAGAAUUUGAUCCUCCUGUGGGGAUAGAAAGAAUAAGUU
Molecule: ribosomal RNA, 162 nt
Filed under: Palaemon debilis
Lineage: Eukaryota; Metazoa; Arthropoda; Malacostraca; Decapoda; Palaemonidae
Description: partial 16S ribosomal RNA
Source: RNAcentral